This 449-nucleotide ribosomal RNA is filed under the name uncultured bacterium. RNAcentral describes it as "partial 16S ribosomal RNA". It matches the Rfam family "Bacterial small subunit ribosomal RNA", at positions 28 to 523 of the family's 1533-position model. The record is from RNAcentral.
GACGAACGCUGGCGGCAGGCUUAACACAUGCAAGUCGAGCGCCGUAGCAAUACGGAGCGGCAGACGGGUGAGUAACGCGUGGGAACGUGCCUUUUGGUUCGGAACAACUCAGGGAAACUUGAGCUAAUACCGGAUAAGCCCCGAGGGGGAAAGAUUUAACGCCAAAAGAUCGGCCCGCGUCAGAUUAGGUAGUUGGAGGGGUAACGGCCCACCAAGCCGAUGAUCUGUAGCUGGUCUGAGAGGACGAUCAGCCACACUGGGACUGAGACACGGCCCAGACUCCUACGGGAGGCAGCAGUGGGGAAUAUUGGACAAUGGGCGCAAGCCUGAUCCGGCCAUGCCGCGUGGAUGAAGAAGGCCCUAGGGUUGUAAAGUCCUUUCGGCGGGGACGAUAAUGACGGUACCCGCAGAAGAAGCCCCGGCUAAUUUCGUGCCAGCAGCCGCAGUAA